This 465-nucleotide ribosomal RNA is filed under the name uncultured bacterium. RNAcentral describes it as "partial 16S ribosomal RNA". It matches the Rfam family "Bacterial small subunit ribosomal RNA", at positions 28 to 507 of the family's 1533-position model. The record is from RNAcentral.
GACGAACGCUGGCGGCGUGCUUAACACAUGCAAGUCGAACGGAAAGGCCCUGCUUGCAGGGUCCUCGAGUGGCGAACGGGUGAGUAACACGUGGGUGAUCUGCCCUGCACUUCGGGAUAAGCCUGGGAAACUGGGUCUAAUACCGGAUAGGAGCCAUUUUUAGUGUGAUGGUUGGAAAGUUUUUUCGGUGUAGGAUGAGCUCGCGGCCUAUCAGCUUGUUGGUGGGGUAAUGGCCUACCAAGGCGGCGACGGGUAGCCGGCCUGAGAGGGUGGACGGUCACAUUGGGACUGAGAUACGGCCCAGACUCCUACGGGAGGCAGCAGUGGGGAAUAUUGCACAAUGGGCGCAAGCCUGAUGCAGCGACGCCGCGUGGGGGAUGACGGCCUUCGGGUUGUAAACUCCUUUCGCUAGGGACGAAGCUUUUUGUGACGGUACCUAGAUAAGAAGCACCGGCUAACUACGUG